AGAGUUUGAUCCUGGCUCAGGACGAACGCUGGCGGUGCGCCUUAUGCAUGCAAGUCGAGCGAAGCUUUUCAGUAGUUUACUACAGAAAAUGACUGAGCGGCGAACGGGUGAGUAACGCGUGAGCAAUCUACCUUAGUUACAGGGAUAGCCCGAGGAAACUCGGAUUAAUACCUGAUAUUCUUUAUUUCUCGCAUGAGAAUAAAAGGAAAGGUCAGCCGAACUAAGAUGAGCUCGCGUUCUAUCAGCUAGUUGGUGAGGUAAAAGCUCACCAAGGCUACGACGGAUAGCUGGUCUGAGAGGACGAUCAGCCACACUGGGACUGAGACACGGCCCAGACUCCUACGGGAGGCUGCAGCAGGGAAUAUUGUGCAAUGAACGAAAGUUUGACACAGCGACACCGCGUGUGGGAUGACGGAUCUAGGUUUGUAAACCACUUUCAGGAGGGAAGAAAAUGACGGUACCUCCAUAAGAAGCCCCGGCCAACUACGUGCCAGCAGCCGCGGUAAUACGUAGGGGGCGAGCGUUGUCCGGAUUUAUUGGGCGUAAAGAGCUCGUAGGCGGUUCAACAAGUCGGUCGUGAAAGUUCAGGGCUCAACCCUGAAAUGUCGAUCGAUACUGUUGUGACUAGGAUACGGUAGAGGUGAGUGGAAUUCCGAGUGUAGCGGUGAAAUGCGUAGAUAUUCGGAGGAACACCAAUUGCGAAAGGCAGCUCACUGGGCCGCUAUCGACGCUGAGGAGCGAAAGCUAGGGGAGCAAACAGGAUUAGAUACCCUGUAGUCCUAGCUGUAAACGAUGGAUACUAGACGUAGACUGGAUGACGGUUUCUGUGUCGCAGCUACGCGUAGUAUCCGCUGGGGAGUACGUCGCAGACUAAACUCAAAGAUGACGG
This 889-nucleotide ribosomal RNA is filed under the name uncultured marine bacterium. RNAcentral's name for it is "bacterial SSU rRNA". It matches the Rfam family "Bacterial small subunit ribosomal RNA", at positions 8 to 916 of the family's 1533-position model. The record is from RNAcentral.